Non-coding RNA from Musca domestica (house fly), 46 nucleotides. The record is from Rfam. Lineage: Eukaryota; Metazoa; Arthropoda; Insecta; Diptera; Muscidae.
CAAAAGGACCCAUUAGGGUCCAUAAAAUUCAAAUUCAAAUUCAAAU